Molecule: long non-coding RNA, 401 nt
Filed under: Homo sapiens (human)
Lineage: Eukaryota; Metazoa; Chordata; Mammalia; Primates; Hominidae
Description: non-protein coding LINC01303:37
Source: RNAcentral
AGUUAGAUCUUGGAACUGAGUCCAGCAGCACUGAGGUCAGAGAGAUGGCUAAAGCUAAAAGCAAACUGGAUGCUGUUCAGGAGGUUCUCCUUUGUCAUUUUUAUCUCCAAAUAGAAGACCUCUGUUUUCCCAGAAGAUUAAAUAGUAGAAAAGAAGUAGCCCAAGCCCUGGACAACUUUCAGGAAGACAGUUCUGGUCUGUAGCAAUUAACACAUGGUCAUCCUCAGAAAAAGGAGAUACCCAUAACUUAAAAUGCAGGAACCAAGAGAUUUGAGCCUAGACAUUUGGAUGAAAAGCGAUUUCCACCUGGAGAAAGUCACUGCCCUUCUGUGCAGAGGGAACAUGAAGGAGAACCCACCUCUGCUGCUUUUGAAGUGCAGUGGCUUUCACUUGGAAUGGAC